RNAcentral lists this ribosomal RNA (486 nucleotides) under uncultured bacterium. RNAcentral's name for it is "partial 16S ribosomal RNA". It matches the Rfam family "Bacterial small subunit ribosomal RNA", at positions 30 to 507 of the family's 1533-position model. The record is from RNAcentral.
AUUGAACGCUGGCGGCAUGCCUUACACAUGCAAGUCGAACGGCAGCACGGGUGCUUGCACCUGGUGGCGAGUGGCGAACGGGUGAGUAAUACAUCGGAACAUGUCCUGUAGUGGGGGAUAGCCCGGCGAAAGCCGGAUUAAUACCGCAUCCGAUCUACGGAUGAAAGCGGGGGCCCUUCGGGCCUCGCGCUAUCGGGUUGGCCGAUGGCUGAUUAGCUAGUUGGUGGGGUAAAGGCCUACCAAGGCGACGAUCAGUAGCUGGUCUGAGAGGACGACCAGCCACACUGGGACUGAGACACGGCCCAGACUCCUACGGGAGGCAGCAGUGGGGAAUUUUGGACAAUGGGCGAAAGCCUGAUCCAGCAAUGCCGCGUGUGUGAAGAAGGCCUUCGGGUUGUAAAGCACUUUUGUCCGGAAAGAAAUCCUUGGCCCUAAUACGGUCGGGGGAUGACGGUACCGGAAGAAUAAGCACCGGCUAACUACGUG